AGUGAACGCUGGCGGUAGGCCUAACACAUGCAAGUCGAACGGCAGCACAGUAAGAGCUUGCUCUUACGGGUGGCGAGUGGCGGACGGGUGAGGAAUACAUCGGAAUCUACUUUUUCGUGGGGGAUAACGUAGGGAAACUUACGCUAAUACCGCAUACGACCUACGGGUGAAAGCAGGGGAUCUUCGGACCUUGCGCGAUUGAAUGAGCCGAUGUCGGAUUAGCUAGUUGGCGGGGUAAAGGCCCACCAAGGCGACGAUCCGUAGCUGGUCUGAGAGGAUGAUCAGCCACACUGGAACUGAGACACGGUCCAGACUCCUACGGGAGGCAGCAGUGGGGAAUAUUGGACAAUGGGCGCAAGCCUGAUCCAGCCAUACCGCGUGGGUGAAGAAGGCCUGCGGGUUGUAAAGCCCUUUUGUUGGGAAAGAAAAGCAGCAGGUUGAUACCCCGCUGUUCUGACGGUACCCAAAGAAUAAGCACCGGCUAACUUCGU
This 491-nucleotide ribosomal RNA is filed under the name uncultured bacterium. RNAcentral describes it as "partial 16S ribosomal RNA". It matches the Rfam family "Bacterial small subunit ribosomal RNA", at positions 29 to 506 of the family's 1533-position model. The record is from RNAcentral.